UCUCCGUUGGUGAACCAGCGGAGGGAUCAUUAUAGAGUUUUCUAAACUCCCAACCCAUGUGAACUUACCAUUGUUGCCUCGGCAGAAGCUGCUCGGUGCACCCUACCUUGGAACGGCCUACCCUGUAGCGCCUUACCCUGGAACGGCUUACCCUGCAACGGCUGCCGGUGGACUACCAAACUCUUGUUAUUUUAUGGUUAUCUGAGCGUCUUAUUUUAAUAAGUCAAAACUUUCAACAACGGAUCUCUUGGUUCUGGCAUCGAUGAAGAACGCAGC
Molecule: unclassified non-coding RNA, 276 nt
Filed under: uncultured fungus
Lineage: Eukaryota; Fungi
Description: sequence contains ITS1, 5.8S rRNA gene
Rfam family: 5.8S ribosomal RNA (bases 228-276)
Source: RNAcentral